UCCUGACAGUUUAGAGUUUUUUUAGGUGCUGUUUAGGUUUUUUUUUAGGGUGCUGCACUGCCCAACCCUCCUGCAUGAGCAGAGUGUCACCGGGGGCCAACAUUACAGGAUGGAAUACAUCCUCCUCCAAGGGACAGGUGUCCCUGAUACCUGCUCUUUAGUCCCAGCCACAGGGACAAUGUUUCAAGUGGAAGUUUGCACAUGGCUGGAGAGAAUCCAUGGAAAUCUUGGUAAAUGCUUUGCCAUUUUAGGUACAGAUGGAGCUUUUGUUAAUGCCUUGGGGCUGGGUGAUGGAAGCUGAAGAAGAUUUACUCUUUCUUUGCUGACAGAACUCUGAAAUAUUUGGAUGAGCAUGGAGAUUACUUCUAUCAAGCUGAAAAGUCCAGGGUUGUGUAAUAUGUGUGGACUCUUGACACUGAGGAAUUAUCUGACACUUUAGAGGGGAAGAAAUCAUAUAUUCAGGACAGUGCAAAUGUUAUGCUGAAGACUUGAAUUUAAGUGCAUGCAACAGUGAUAAAAUAGCAGAGUCUGUAUCAAGAUGACAAAAUUUCUAUGUUUGUAAUCUCUGUGUAAAAAUGAAAAGGGGUUUCCAGUUUACCUGUGGCCAGAGAGAGAGUUUCACCUGAAAACCAUUGUGCCCCUGUUUGCCCACAACAGAGAACAGUGGCACUUGACCUUGGAACCACUAUGUUCCCAAUUUCUGUGUUUAUCAAACAUAUGCUGGCAGGCCACAAUCAGAAAAUGUAAAGUCUGACCAUGAAAACUGUGCCUCCAAACCAAGCAGGUGCAAACUAGUACCUUUGAUUUCUGUGUUUGCUAGAAAGUAACCCAAAGCAGGGGAGCGAACAUUGCCGCUAGGGCUCACGCCCUCAGCGCCUGGAUGCCCAGCCGGCAGCGCUCACAGUCAGCUCCAGGCGGCUGGGCUGGAGCAGGGCCUGACUCAGGGCCUGACUUCCCCCCUCAGCUGCUCUGCAAAGGGGUGCCCGUGUUCUGGAGGACAGCGAGCUCAUGCGGGGUGCACGGUGCCCAGGCAGCUCUGCCCCUUCUCCUGAGCCGCAGACCAGGCCGCGGCUGGGGCUCUGGCCAGGAUCGUGGCGGAUCUCGGGUCCAUUGACUUCAGCAGAUGAUUGACACCAGAUGGCCCACCAUGUUUGAUAUUAUUACAUUAAGGUAUUAGCAUAUGUAUAAUUUUAUUUGUACUUUUCUUUAUCAGUAGUAUUUUCUUUCUGCUUCAGUUGACUUUUUCAACCUUUAUUCAGGGGGAUGAAAUACAUUCCAUGUGAAUAAACAUCUUCCAUGAUGGAUAAAUAUCA
Molecule: long non-coding RNA, 1313 nt
Filed under: Cyanistes caeruleus (blue tit)
Lineage: Eukaryota; Metazoa; Chordata; Aves; Passeriformes; Paridae
Description: lncRNA (ENSCCEG00000002686.1)
Source: RNAcentral